CACCUACGGGUGGCUGCAGUAAGGAAUAUUGGUCAAUGGACGCAAGUCUGAACCAGCCAUGCCGCGUGGAGGAUGAAGGUCCUCUGGAUUGUAAACUUCUUUUAUUUGGGAAGAAACCACCGAUUUCUAUUGGUGUUGACGGUACCAGAUGAAUAAGCACCGGCUAACUCCGUGCCAGCAGCCGCGGUAAUACGGAGGGUGCAAGCGUUAUCCGGAUUCACUGGGUUUAAAGGGUGCGUAGGCGGGUUGGUAAGUCCGUGGUGAAAUCUCCAAGCUUAACUUGGAAACUGCCGUGGAUACUAUCAAUCUUGAAUAUAGUGGAGGUGAGCGGAAUAUGUCAUGUAGCGGUGAAAUGCUUAGAUAUGACAUAGAACACCCAUUGCGAAGGCAGCUCGCUACACUAUUAUUGACGCUGAGGCACGAAAGCGUGGGGAUCAAACAGGAUUAGAUACCCUGGUAGUCCACGCCCUAAACGAUGAUUACUCGACAUCAGCGAUACACUGUUGGUGUCUGAGCGAAAGCAUUAAGUA
This 530-nucleotide ribosomal RNA is filed under the name uncultured bacterium. Its description in RNAcentral is "bacterial SSU rRNA". It matches the Rfam family "Bacterial small subunit ribosomal RNA", at positions 335 to 866 of the family's 1533-position model. The record is from RNAcentral.